RNA transcript from Gordionus sp. m RMFG-2023, 1209 nucleotides. It is a transcript of the gene named putative tricarboxylate transport protein, mitochondrial, with no coding region annotated. The transcript is spliced from 7 exons. NCBI's taxonomy places the organism in Eukaryota, Metazoa, Nematomorpha, Gordioida, Chordodea, Parachordodidae. The record is from RefSeq and is a predicted model, not a curated record.
UUAUCAUAAAAUAUAUAUUAGCUUACUUAUAUAUAAAAUAACUAAAUAAGAAUGGUUAUUCCAAGUGAUUCACCAACUAUGAAACUGUAUAGUUCAGGAUUUUUACCUUCCCAAAAAACCCUGAAAGGAAUAGUGGCUGGUGGCUUUACAGGAGGUAUUGAAAUAUGCAUAACAUUCCCAACUGAAUUUGUUAAAACACAACUCCAGUUGGAUGAAAAAUCUAUCAAACCAAGAUACUCAGGCAUAAUUGAUUGUGUGAAACAAACGGUCGAUUCUCAUGGUGUCAAGGGUUUAUAUAGAGGACUGAGUGUUCUGCUUUAUGGAUCAAUUCCUAAAUCAGCUGUAAGAUUUGGUUCUUUUGAAGCCUUGAAAAACCAUUUCUCGGACCCGGUUACUGGUAACCUUACGCCAUCUAAGAGAUUCUUUUGUGGAAUGGGAGCCGGUGUUAGCGAGGCCAUCCUCGUCGUUACCCCCAUGGAAACGGUCAAGGUAAAAUUCAUAGAUGACAUUCAGAACCCUGCCGGACCCAAGUUCAAAGGCUUUUUUCACGGCGUGGGAACUAUAAUAAAGACUCAAGGUUUUGGUGGAAUUUAUCAGGGCUUGACGGCCACCAUAAUCAAGCAAGGCAGCAACCAGGCUAUUCGAUUCUUCGUAGUGGAAACUCUCAAAGAUUGGUACCGAGGUGGAGAUUCAAAAAAAAAGGUGAACAAGCUCAUUACCGGAUGUUUUGGCGCAGUGGCGGGAGCCGCUUCAGUCUUUGGUAAUAAUCCCGUCGAUGUGGUUAAAACUAGAAUGCAGACUCUUGUUAAAGACGCUAAGAUGGGGACGCCUUCCAAACGCUAUGCUUUGAAUGGGAAGCAUCCGUCAUUAGAGGACGUAUGACCUUCUCUAAUGGAGGAAAUAUUUGUUUAGGCUGCUUGCAUAUAAAGAGAUUUCUGUUUAAUCAUUAAAUAUUUAAGGUUUAACACCUGAUUUCUUUUUGCAUACAAUUUGAAUAUUUAAAUUAAUAUUUUAUUUUUGAAAAAUAUUUAAUUUUAAAUAAUUUUAAACCAUUAUUCAGAGUUUAGAAGCUAGUAAGUACAAGAGUACAUUUGACUGCGCUCUCAAAAUAGUUAAACACGAAGGAAUAGCGGCGUUUUAUAAAGGCACUGUCCCUAGACUCAGCCGAGUUUGCUUAGACGUGGGGAUAACCUUCAUGAUUUACGAUAC